This 253-nucleotide ribosomal RNA is filed under the name uncultured bacterium. RNAcentral's name for it is "partial 16S ribosomal RNA". It matches the Rfam family "Bacterial small subunit ribosomal RNA", at positions 524 to 776 of the family's 1533-position model. The record is from RNAcentral.
UACGUAGGUGGCAAGCGUUGUCCGGAUUUAUUGGGUUUAAAGGGUGCGUAGGCGGUCUAUUAAGUCAGUGGUGAAAUAUGGCAGCUCAACUGUCAAGGUGCCAUUGAUACUGAUGGACUUGAGUGAAGUCGAAGUAGGCGGAAUUGACGGUGUAGCGGUGAAAUGCGCAGAUAUCAGGAGGAACACCGGUGGCGAAGGCGGGUCUCUGGGCCGAUACUGACGCUGAGGAGCGAAAGCGUGGGGAGCGAACAGG